Molecule: ribosomal RNA, 441 nt
Filed under: uncultured bacterium
Lineage: Bacteria
Description: bacterial SSU rRNA
Rfam family: Bacterial small subunit ribosomal RNA
Source: RNAcentral
GUACGGGAGGCAGCAGUGGGGAAUCUUCCGCAAUGGGCGAAAGCCUGACGGAGCAACGCCGCGUGAGUGAAGAAGGCCUUCGGGUCGUAAAACUCUGUCUUCAGGGAAGAAAAAAAUGACGGUACCUGAGGAGGAAGCCCCGGCUAACUACGUGCCAGCAGCCGCGGUAAAACGUAGGGGGCGAGCGUUGUCCGGAAUUACUGGGCGUAAAGGGCGCGUAGGCGGUUAUUUAAGUCAGAGGUGAAAACUACCGGCUCAACCGGUAGCCUGCCUUUGAAACUGGAUGACUUGAGGGCAGGAGAGGGGAGUGGAAUUCCCAGUGUAGCGGUGAAAUGCGUAGAUAUUGGGAGGAACACCAGUGGCGAAGGCGGCUCUCUGGCCUGUUUCUGACGCUGAGGCGCGAAAGCGUGGGGAGCAAACGGGAUUAGAUACCCCGGUAGG